UACAGAGGGGGCAAGCGUUGUUCGGAAUUACUGGGCGUAAAGGGCGCGUAGGCGGCCUGUUAAGUCGAACGUGAAAUCCCCGGGCUCAACCCGGGAACUGCGUCCGAUACUGGCAGGCUCGAAUCCGGGAGAGGGAUGCGGAAUUCCAGGUGUAGCGGUGAAAUGCGUAGAUAUCUGGAGGAACACCGGUGGCGAAGGCGGCAUCCUGGACCGACACUGACGCUGAGGCGCGAAAGCUAGGGUAGCAAACAGG
Molecule: ribosomal RNA, 253 nt
Filed under: uncultured bacterium
Lineage: Bacteria
Description: partial 16S ribosomal RNA
Rfam family: Bacterial small subunit ribosomal RNA
Source: RNAcentral